This 360-nucleotide RNase P RNA is filed under the name Candidatus Saccharimonadota bacterium. RNAcentral's name for it is "Candidatus Saccharibacteria bacterium RNase P RNA component class A". It matches the Rfam family "Bacterial RNase P class A". From Rfam's summary of the family: Ribonuclease P (RNase P) is a ubiquitous endoribonuclease, found in archaea, bacteria and eukarya as well as chloroplasts and mitochondria. The record is from RNAcentral. Lineage: Bacteria; Candidatus Saccharimonadota.
UCAGAGGACUGAGUAAUCGCUUGGCUUUGCUAAGAGGAAAGUCCGGGCAGCGAAGGACAAGACAGUUGCUAACGGCAACCGGAGGUGACUCUAGGGAAAGUGCCGCAGAAACAAAACCGCCCCCAUUCUUAGGAAAGGGGGUAAGGGUGAAAAGAGUGGGGUAAGAGCCCACAGUCUUCCACGGUGACGUGAUAAGAGUGGUAAACCCUGUCUGCUGCAAGGUGAUUUACUAACUGCUUUUAGUAGCAGUGGUGGUCCGCUAGGUAAAUCAACAAUAAAACCGCUCGAUUGUGCAGGCAACUGCACGACUAGAUAGAUGAUUGCUCAUGACAGAACCCGGCUUAUAGGUGCUCUGAUACA